UACGUAGGGGGCAAGCGUUGUCCGGAAUCAUUGGGCGUAAAGCGCGUGUAGGCGGUUCAGUAAGUCUGCUGUGAAAGUCCAGGGCUCAACCCUGGGAUGCCGGUGGAUACUGCUGGGCUAGAGUACGGAAGAGGCGAGUGGAAUUCCCGGUGUAGCGGUGAAAUGCGCAGAUAUCGGGAGGAACACCAGUGGCGAAGGCGGCGAUCUGGGUCGAGUACUGACGCUGAGGUGCGAAAGCGUGGGGAGCAACAGGAU
RNAcentral lists this ribosomal RNA (255 nucleotides) under uncultured bacterium. Its description in RNAcentral is "partial 16S ribosomal RNA". It matches the Rfam family "Bacterial small subunit ribosomal RNA", at positions 524 to 778 of the family's 1533-position model. The record is from RNAcentral.